Siniperca chuatsi (mandarin fish) is the source of this 767-nucleotide long non-coding RNA. RefSeq lists it as uncharacterized. The transcript has 2 exons. The record is from RefSeq and is a predicted model, not a curated record. Lineage: Eukaryota; Metazoa; Chordata; Actinopteri; Centrarchiformes; Sinipercidae.
ACACAGUAACACAGGUAACACACAGUAACACAGGUAACGCACACACAGGUAACGCACACACAGGUAACGCACACACAGUAACACAGGUAACACACAGUAACACAGGUAACACACACACAGGUAACACACACACGAGCCUGAUUGGUCGAGCAGAUGUGAUGUAAUCUUUGCCACAACUUUUCCUGGGCGUUUAAAUGUGUAAGAGGCAACAUGAAGUCAUCCUGCACACUCUUCAGCGUCACCUCCUCCUCUUCAUCACACUCUUCAGCGUCACCUCCUCCUCUUCAUCACACUCUUCAGCGUCACCUCCUCCUCUUCAUCACAUGUAAACGACUCUGCCACCAAACACGAGUUAAAAUGAGGUUUGUCGUCUGUUUAAAGACGUUAAUCUGAAACAUCCAAGAACCUCGACGACUCACAGGUUCUUCAGAGUUCUGGUUCUGAGGAGAACCAGAACCAGGUCUCAGGCUGUCCGCUCCAGCAGCAGUAAACUGAGCUUUCUGAGGAUUUAUGUGCAAACUGAUCGUGCGUCAUGAACUUGAAUGAUUAGUGUCCUCUGAGUGGCUGAUUCCUGUGACAUCACUUGACUGACAGCUGAGUGCGGAUGUUGCUAGGAGACGAGCUUAUUACGAUCCUAAAACACUGACGCAAGUCUUUGUGUGGACGUUUCUCAGAGUGUGUGAGACAGGACGGCCUGUCUUCCUGCUGAAAACUUUCCAUUCAUCAACACACACACACACACACACACACACACACACACACACACA